GGAGGAAUAUUGGGCAAUGGGGGAAACCCUGACCCAGCAACGCCGCGUGAGGGAAGAAGGCCUUCGGGUUGUAAACCUCUGUGACGGGGGACGAAAGCAAUGACGGUACCCCGAGAGGAAGCCACGGCAAACUACGUGCCAGCAGCCGCGGUAAGACGUAGGUGGCAAGCGUUGUCCGGAAUCACUGGGCGUAAAGGGCGCGUAGGCGGUAUAUCAAGUCAAUUGUGAAAGACCCGGGCUCAACCCGGGAAGUGCAGUUGAAACUGGUAAACUUGAGUGCAGUAGAGGGAAGCGGAAUUCCUGGUGUAGCGGUGAAAUGCGUAGAGAUCAGGAGGAACACCGGUGGCGAAGGCGGCUUUCUGGGCUGCAACUGACGCUGAGGCGCGAAAGCGUGGGGAGCGAACAGG
Molecule: ribosomal RNA, 407 nt
Filed under: uncultured prokaryote
Also listed under: 1 other name
Description: bacterial SSU rRNA
Rfam family: Bacterial small subunit ribosomal RNA
Source: RNAcentral